This is a long non-coding RNA of Carya illinoinensis, 11423 nucleotides long. RefSeq lists it as uncharacterized. The record is from RefSeq and is a predicted model, not a curated record. The transcript has 5 exons. Lineage: Eukaryota; Viridiplantae; Streptophyta; Magnoliopsida; Fagales; Juglandaceae.
AAAACUGUCAGAUAAAUAUCUAUAAAUAUGAAUUGUUCAAUAAUUAUUCUAGCUAAUUUCAAAAUAUUCAAUAUUUGGAUUAAAUAUUGAAUCCUCUAUGAGACAGGUGGGACAUUACUGUGUAUUAUAAGCAGCGUUAUUAUUUCUGUGUAUGAUCCCUAACCACUAACGUUAUUUUUGAGUCUGGUCAGAGUUGCGGUUGAUGCAAAAUAGCUGUUCCAUGAUUCUAUAGACAGACCUCUGGAUUCAUGCCAAUCGUGUCACUUUGCUUCAAGUGGUUCAAAUUAUACGAGGUUUUUGGUUUUUUCUUGUGACAGGCAAUACCGAUUUAAGGUUCCGUUGCUCAACUUAAAAUUACCAGCAUAUUAACGCUAAGAAAAUUAUGAACUUAAACGAAUGCAAGUGUACAGGGCCGUUUGCAUUUCCCUUCCGAUUUUUCUAAUAUUGCUUAAAGCUAACGGCUAGAAAAUUUAAAAUUUAACUAUAGAGAACAGCGGUUGGAUUUCUCAUUCCAUGACUUUUCCAGCCGUUGUAUACUCUUAUAAAAUAUAUAUUCCUCCAAAAUUGAAAAGUCCCCCCAUGUAGAAAGAGAAAUACAGCGACUCGAAAGAAGAAUCAAUAGCCAGAGAGAGAGAGAGAGCGCUACGAAAAUGUCAGAGCAUGAAAUAUUAUAGACAAUGAGAGAUGAGCUGAGAGAGUCAGAGACGGAAAGAAUUGAGAUGAUGAUACACAGCGGGAACAACGGUUAUGGAAACGGGGUGAUGACGUCGGCAUCGGUAGCGACGACGCCAAGCCCAUGACGUUGUCUUCAUCCUCGACAAAUGCGCAAUCUCGGGGGAUGAAGACGUACUUUAAGAACCCAGUGGGACGGCAAGGUUCUCUCUCUCUCUCUCUCUCUCAAAGUCACCUACUCGUCUAACAAUUUUUGCCUUGCAAGAAACCGGCUCGUGCACAAGCAGAAAGAUAAAAGAAGGAAAAAAAGAGAGACACCGUAGCUGUCAAUGGGCAGUGCGAAGAAAAAUCCUUGCUGCAACGACAUUGGAGGUACCUCCAAAGAGUGUACUGGAGAGACCCAAUCCCAAGGAGGUAAGGUGAUUAACACUUCAUUCCUGUUCAUCAGAGUUAUUCUGUGAUUGGUUAGGGUUUGGUGAAAUACUGUUCUGGGAAAUAGAAUGAAAAAUGUGGGUUCGUUUAUUUUAUUCUUUGCCACUUUUGUUACGUUCUGUUUGAUUGGUGAGAAGCGUAGUUAAAUAAAACGUCAGAAAGUUUAUGGAAUUCAAAUUUUUCCACUUUUGGUGUCAAAGAAAACAGAAUGCUGGCAUGACAAUGCCUAAUGACUGGGAGCUAUAAUUAUAUAAUAGUAGAUUGUAGUACUACACGUCUAAUGGUCAAUGUUUCAAAGAAAGAGCACGCUUGGAAAGUAUGACAUGUAGGAGCUCAUAGGAACAUUUUAUAUGUGGCUUUUAAUUUAUAUAUAAAAAGUGGCUUCAUUCAUAUUGAUCACUGUCAAUGAGAAUGGUAAGUUAUGAGCUUGUGGUUUUUAUGUUACUAACUAAUGAUUGUGAAUUAUUGAUCCUCUGUUCAUGCAAGAAUCUGAACCCAUAGUUUGGGAGUACUAUAGAAAAGAAAUUGGGUCUCGCUUGGUCGAUAUGUACAAAGAGGCUUGUGACAGUAUGUUUUCUAACUCACCGGUGAAUGCACCCACCAUGUAUCUCAGUUUUAUGGGGCUACUUUCUGUUAUUAGAGUUGCAUGAUCCUUAAAGAGUUCCUGUACAAUGAAGGUGUACCACAUAUUGAUUUCUGCUUGUAGUAUAACUAUUUGCAUGUCUCUGCGAGAAAAAAAAAAAAAAAAAAAAAAAAACCCCUUGUAAUUGGAGCUCAAAUUGGCUGUAAAAACAGCUUAUGCUUGUUAAUAGAUAGGAUAUGUUAGGGAAUAUGUACGAGGCCGCUUUUUUUCAUUCACCAAGCAAGUUCGUUAUUAUGCUGAUUAUUGCUUCCAGACUAGUAGAGAAACCUUCUUGAACUCAAUUAAAAUCUAGAUUAGUGAGAUUGAUUACUAGUGUUGGUUCCCGCACUUAUUGUGAUGAGUAAACGAUUAGCUACAUCAAACUCCGAAGGGACACUUAUAGGUUUACCAUGAGGCAAGUUCUUGAGAGAUUUUCUUUUUGAUCAAUAAAUAAGAAUAUUAUUGAUGAGAGAUAUAGGCAUAACCUAAAUACACAGGACUUUCUUGAGAGAUUUUAUGAAGCUGGAGUAUGUUUAGCUGUGAACAUAUAGGCAGCAGGAAUUGAUUUGUAAUCGAAUCUAUUGGUCUCAAAUACCAGAUACUAAAUGAUUUGUCCCGCUAGGUACUGUCUUACUUCAUGUCUAUUUGAAAUUGCCUUUUAGUGAAAAUAGUUCACUUUUCUUGAGUUUUUAUUAAUCCAUGUUCCGAUUUCCAAUUGUUUCAAAUUUACUUAAUGACGAAUAGUGUUCCAAGUUUGUAGGCAUAGAGUUCCCCAGGUACGUAGCCACAGUAACUCCUCAAAACGAGCCUAAAUCUGAUGCACUGGUGAGAACUUACGCAAGAUCUAAUUGCUUGACACCCUCUCCCUCUCUCUAUGGUUUUGAAUGCUUCAAACUUUAAGAAGUAUUGUCAAUAAGAUUUUAAGUUUUGAAUGUUGUAGACAUCAAGAAAUAUUUUCUUUGAGAUUUUAGAUCCUGCAGACUUUAAUAAUGAGUUGGGUGAAAUUUAAGGAUCUAGAUUUUCCAGGCCUUAAGCUAAGAUUAUUUUCAUGUUUAAGGUUAUAUACUUUGCAGAUUUUUGUGCAAUGGAUUAUUAUCGAAUUUGAGAUUCUAGCUUCAACGGAUUUUAAGAACUGGUUAUUUUCAUAUUUAAGGUUAUUAAUUGUAGUUGAGAAUGAAAUAGAGAAUUUGAGAGUAUAAGUCAUGGUGAAUGAAUUGGGAGACAAGAAGUCGGGUUGCUAUAAAAGUGUGGUAAGAGUCAUCCUGAUAGGUAUUGAAAUGUAUUAGACUCCUAGUUUUAGAUAUUUUGGCAAAGUCGUCAGAGUGUGCAACGGAAGCGUGAUUUUGGUUAUAUAAGGGUUUGCGAGUAAACUUUGUGAAGGUUUGGGAAUUGGUGACUUGAGAGUUGAGAUCACUUAGGACUUAACUUUAAAGAAUUUUAUUGUAUUGGAGGUUAAGACUUUAUGCUGAGAGUUAUUUUUACAAUUAUCUUUGAGGCUUAAAAAAAAAUAAGGGGAAAUAUUAUUAGGCUUGUAAAAGUUUAUAUUAUUAUGCCUGAACUGGAUUUCGAGGUAUCUGAAGAUCAACACUAGGCGCAUGAAUGUGUAUGCUAAGAGGAUUAGUAGGUAUUUAAGUUAUGGGGGCGAGAGAUAUUGGAAAGUUAGGAUGUUUAAAUAUUAAGUUUGACAUAAUAGUUGGAAGUUUAAAAUAGGCAUGGAUUAUGAGGGAUAAGUAUUUUAGGCUUUACUUUAGAUGUAACAAAUUUCGAGCCCGAAAUGUUUAAAAGGGGGGAGGAUGUAACACCUGGGUCUAGCACCAAGGUAGCAUUCUAACUUUUUUGCGUUUAUACGUAUGAAAAGCCUACUUGAGAUUAAUGAUAGGCUAUAGGUUUAAAAUUUUAUUUUGUGGGAUGUGUAUUUUGAUUGGGCUUGAUAAUUAGGUUAAAUAUUUUUGGGUUGAAAAAUUUAUGGGACAAGCUAGAUUAUUUUUAUAGUCAAUUUCAGAAUCCACACCCAUGCACAUCUCCAUGUCAUGCACAUUUCUUCCUUGUCUAUUUCUCCUCUAGGGUUUCAAUUUCUAUAUUUAUACACACGCUCGAUAAACAAAGUUACAAAACCCAUUUAUCCCAUGUAUUCACUGCAUGCACGACUCCAUCACUUCUAAUCCCACCCACUGCAUGCACGCCUCUUCCUUCCUUGUCUAGGGUUUUAUCAGUUUUUCCUAUAUAUUUAUAUAUAUAUAUUCAUUACACAGUAUUGUACACAUACCUCGUAAGCCAUCCUCAACAUAAAAACUAAGGCUACCGCUCCGUGUUCCUCCUGCUUUCAGCGCAUUGUCGCUUCAACACAGACAACGUAAACGAACCCAGCCAAAGCCAAGCCCUUCACGUAUGUCUAGCUCCUGGCUCCUCCGCACGCAACCACCUCUCUUGGUGGGCUUGAGAUUUUUUUCACUUUGCUGCUAGGCACUACCACGAACGAGAUCUCCCUACCAUUGGUGUAAAACUGUGUCCUCUGUUUGGAUUGGUACCAACUUUUCUGUUUCCGGUGCAUCCUUCCAAAGUGGCUUUCUGUGUGGUAUUUCCUAUGUGCACACUCAGGGCUUCGAAAAUGAAUAAGGGGAAGAUUUCACAUUCUGUUUCUGCUUGGUUGGCCGCUGGGGUUUGUAUAACUCUACCACGGGGGUUAACAUGGAAUUCUUUUUCAGAUGUGAUAUUUCAAUUAUGCUAUGCCAAAGGAAUUUUAAAUAAGAAUAUUAUAGUUUCUUUCACUCUGAUAUUGUUGAUAACAUGUUCUGAUUUUGCGUUCUAAAAAUUAUAAAUAUUCUAUUCUGCAUUCUGAACUCUGUACAUGCUCAUGUUUACAUAUUAGUAUAGUUUCUUUGCCUAUUGACUUGUUGAUAACUCACCCGUGUAUCUCCAUAAUGUUUUUCAGACAGUUUGUAUGCCUCAACUGGGAGUGAUGAAUAAGAAGUGUUAACAAGAUUUGAUGAUCGUAGAUGAAUAAGUACCAAAGGGUACAAAGUAUUUAUUAGAGAGUUAUAUUAGUAGAUUUAUUAUUUUACCUUAUUUUGGUGUUUUUAGUUAUGGAUAUGUCCGAGUUUGUGGAGAUUUUAGUUUAUUUUAUUGAAGUAUUUCUAUGGUGGUCUGCUGGAAGAAUAUUUAUAUUUGGUUGGAAUAAAUGAAUUGAUAAUUUAUUUGAAAUUUGGAGUAUAUAAUUAUGUUAUGGGAGAUGACUUUAGGUUACAACAGCUAACUCUCCGGACCUCCGAGACCAAGGCGUUACAGUUCGUAUCAGAGCCAGGUUUGAGAUUCUGCAGACUUUAUGGAUUGAGGUUUUCGGACUUUGAGAUUUUAGAUUCGAUUGAUUUAUGCUAUAGGCUGUAGGACAUGACUUGGAUAUGAUUUAAUGUUUAGAUUUUGAAGUUGGCAUAUGUUUGACCGAAAGCCAGGUUUGAGGUUCUGCAGACUAUAACAUAUGAGGUUUUAGAUAUCUGUGAGUUUAGGAAGUAACUUCAGAUUUUAGGUGAAGAAAUUUGAAGACUGAGAGAUGAUUAUAUGGAUAUUUAAGGUUUGAGAUUCUGCAGACUUUAUUAGUUGAGUUUUGGAAAUCUGUGGUUUAGGGAUUGAGCAUACUUUAAAUAUGAUUUUGAUGGAAUCUGAGGUCUAAAUUUUUGUAGAUUUUAAGAAAUGACUUUUGAAGUUGACAUAAGUUUGGCUGAAAGCCAGGUUUGAGGUUAUGCAGACUAUAACAAAUGAAGUUUUGGAUAUCUGUGGAUUUAGGAAGUAAGUUCAAAUUUGAGGUGUAGAAAUUUGAAGAUGAUUGUAUGGAUAUUUAAGGUUUGAGAGCCUCCAGACCUUAUUGGUUGAGUUUUGGAAAUAUGAGGUUUAGGGAUUUUGCAUACUUUAAAGAUGAUUUUGAUGUGAUCUGAGGUCUUAAAUAUUUGUAGAUUGAGAUUUAUGGUUUUGAAUGCUGCAAAUUUUAAGAAGUAUUGUCGAUAAGAUUUUAAGGUUUGAAUGUUGUAGACAUCAAGAAAUAUUUUCUUCGAGAUUUUAAAUCAUGCAGAAUUUAAUAAUGAGUUGGGUAAAAUAUUUAAGGCUCUAGAUUUUCCAGGCCUUAAACCUAAGAUUAUUUUCAUAUUUAAGGUUAUAGACUUUGCAGAUUUUUGGGCAAUAGAUUAUUAUCGAAUUUGAGAUUCUAGCUUCAAUGGAUCUUAAGAAAUGAUUAUUUUCAUAUUUAAGGUUAUUAAUUGCAGUCGAGAAUGAAAUAGAGAAUGUGAGAGUAUAAGUCAGGGUGAAUGAAUUUGGGAGACAAGAAGUCGGGUUGCUAUCAAAGUGUGGUAAGAGUCAUCCUCGUAGAUAUUGAAGUGUAUUAGACUCCUAGUUUUAAAUAUUUUGGCAAAGUUGUCAAAGUGCACAACGGAAGCAUGAUUUUGGUUAUAUAAGAGUUUGCGAGUAAACUUUGUGAAGGUUCGGAAAUUGAUGACUUGAGAGUUGAGAUCACUUAGGACUUAACUUUUAAGAAUUUUAUUGUAUUGGAGGUUAAGACUAUCUUUAAGUAAUGUGGGCGAGAGAUAUUGGAAAGUUAGGAUUUUUAAAUUUUAAGUUUGACAUAAUAGUUGAGGUUUAAAAUACAUGGAUGAAAUCAUAAGGGAUAAGUAUUUUAGGCUUUACUUUAGAUGCAAUAGAUUUCGAGGACGAAAGUUUUUAAGGGGGGAAGAUGUAACACCCAGGCCUAGCACCAAGGCCGCAUUCUAACAUUUUUGGGUUUAUACGUAUGAAAAGCCUACUUGACAUUAAUGAUAGGCUAUAUAGGUUUAAAAUUUUAUUUUUUGGGAUGUGUAUUUUGAUUGGGCUUGAUAAUUAGGUGAAAUAUUUUUGGGUGGAAAAAUUUAUGGAACAAGUUAGAUUAUUUUUAGAGUCAAUUUUAGAAUCCACACCCAUGCAGAUCUCCAUGUCAUGCAUAGUUCUUCCUUGCCUAUUUCUCCUCUAGGGUUUCGGUUUCUAUUUUAUACACACACUCGAUACACAAAGUUACAAAACCCAAUGAUCCCAUGGAUUCACUGCAUGCACAGUCCAUCACUUUUGAUCCCACUGCAUGCACGCCUCUUCCUUCCUUGUCUUGGGUUUUAUCAGUUAUUCCUAUAUAUAUAUUCAUUACACUGUCGGGCACACAUACCCCGUAAGCCAUUCUCAACAUAAAAAGGGCUUCCGCUUCGUGUUCCUUCUGCGUUCAACGCACUGCCGUUGCUGCCGCUUCAACACAGCCACUGCAAAUGACCCUCACCAAAGCCAAGCCCUUCACGUAUGUCUAGCUCCUAGCUCCUCCGCACGCAACCACCUAUCUUGGUGAGCUUGAGAUUUUUUCCCCUUGGCGCUAGGCAUUGCCACAAACGAGACCUCCCUACCAUGAGUGUAAAACUGUGGCAUCUGUUUGGGUUAGUACUAACUUUUCUAUUUCCGGUGCACCCCCUUUAGAAGUCAAAGUGGUUUUCUGCGUGAUCUUUCCUAUGUGCACACUCGGGACUCCGAGAAUGAAUAAGGGGAAGAGUUCAUAUUCUUUUUCUGCUCAAUUGGCCACCAGAGUUUGCGCAAUCCUACCAUGGUGGUUAAACAUGGAAUUCUAUUUCUGAUGUGAUAUUUCAGUUAUGCCAUGCCAAAUAGAUUUUAAAUAAGAAUAUUUUUGAACUUUUGCUCUGAUAUUGUUGAUAACAUGUUUUGAUUUUGCAUUUUGAACUCUAUACAUGCUUAUGUUUUCAUACUAUUAUAGUUCUUUGCUUACUGACUCAUUAAUAACUCACCCCUUAUCUCCAUAACGUUUUUCAGAAAAUUUGUAUGCCUCAACUGGGAGUGAUGAAUAGGAAGUGUUAACAAGAUUUGAUGAUCGUAGAUGAAUAAGUAUCAAAGGGUACAAAGUAUUUAUUAGAGAGUUCUAUUAGUAGAUGAAUAAGUAUCAACGGCAACUCUGCUUUUUGAGUAAUCUUGACUCCAUUUUGGACGAGUUAGGAAAGUUAAUUAUAUGGAACAAAAAAAUCUAUAAUUAGUUGAGGUUAUUUUGCCAAUUUGUUUUAUUAAUUGCUUUUGGAAUUUAGAGGUGAUGUUCUGAAAAAAUACCCAUUAGCACACUGUCAAUUAUUUUUUUAAUAAAUAUAUUUGCUCUAAAUUUAGUCUAGGUUGAUUUAUAACAUGUCCCAAUGUGGUACUUUUGCAUCUUUCUAUCAGUUUACACAGCAGAAGCUCCCAGGUUGUAAACCAGUACAAACACCAGCUUGGGUAACUUCUCAAAUACUACUAUUUACUUCUGACUUUCAUAAUCUAUUAUUUGUCCUAAUUUGUGUACUUGUGGUGCUGAGAAUCUCUCAUGCAGGUCAUUUAUAUAUUUCUAUUGACCUUGUUACUCUUCAUUCCUAUCGACCUUGUUACGUACUCUUCAUGCUUCCCAAAGUGCAUGCGUUCUUUGUAGUUACUUUUAAACUUAUCAUGUUGCUGCCUGCAUGCUUCUUUGUACCUUCACAAGUGCAAUGAUUAUUUAUUUGAAGUUUUGGACAUAUAUGAUGUUCAAUGCAUACCAGAAGCAUUUAGACAGCUCAAUCCCAAAAACUGUUCUCGCUUCUUAAAGGUGUUUUAUUUUAUUUUUAAAAUUUUCUAUUUGCCACAUCUCAUGAAAAUUAGUAAUUAGUUAAUCUAUGAGUUUCAUAAAGCUUUUGAGGAUUUCAUCAUCCGAACUUUGUCAAUACUGCUUCUUUAAUAUUUGCAAACAUUUCUCCUCAAUAUUCAGCCAUCAUAGAGUUAGCAGACUUCAAAGUACGGACAUAGAUAUCUUGAAAAUCCCAACCAUUUUGCAAAUGAAAACAUUGAUGCUAUAAUUGAGUUGUCUAGAUUGUUCACUUGGGAUAGUUUGUUCGCUAAAGAAGGAAAAGAAAAAGACAAAAAAAAAGACUUUGGUACCACUGAAAUUGGUGGUGUAAUGUGCUUCCAGUGGUCCAAGAAAUUAAAUUACAUUGUCUAAUUGGAGUGAGUGGAAGAUCUGGGAGAUGGACUUCUAUAAUUCAGCAAAUCUGGGAAGAUAGAUUUCUUGAAGAGGAAAUUUCUGACUCGCUAUUAGUCUAGAUUCAGUACCUCUUGAAGUCAAUUCGAUUUUAUUGCUAUUUUUCUUCUCUCUCUCUCUCUUUGGUUCUUUUUAGACAUGGCCUCAUGUUUCCACUCAUACUAAUUUUUAUUGCAUAUUGCACUGAAAAAGUAGUUAUUGAAGAAAUAGGUGUCGAUAUGGCCGAGAGCUUCGUGGCAGAAAAGAGACGUGAACUAAUAGAGGUUGUUUCUGAGGUUGAUGAUCAACUUGCUGAGGCAUUUCUAAAUGAUGGGCCCGUAUCGCCUACUGAACUUGAGUAAAAACAUAAUUGAAGAUGAACUGAUAACUGCGACAUAAUACAUGGAAAUCUCUACCUGCAGUGUACUGAAAGGAAGCAAAUGUGCGUUGUACGUUGAGCCAUUGGAAUCAAUAAUUGCAUCCAGUCUAUGAAAGCUGUAGUUAGGAGGAAGCUCUAUUUAGUGGAAUUUAUUCCAUACUUAUUCCAACCAAGUAUGAAGAGACUGGGGCAACAUAGGACUUACUAUGAUUUGGGUUCGUAUUAUAUCUUCUUGUUUCUUCAUUUCCUUUACUGGGCAACAUAGGACUUACUAUGAUUUGGGUUCGUAUUAUAUCUUCUUGUUUCUUCAUUUCCUUUACUGUUUUUUCUUUGAUUGUUUAUUAUUAUUAUGCGUUGAAAAUGGUUGGUCAGGAACAAACCCGUGAAGGUUUUUUGUUGGAGCAAUAGAGGCAUGGAUUUAUUUGUUCUACUAUGCUGGAAUAAUUUCCAAUAUUGGUACCAAACAGCGCGUUCCUUUUCUUAGUCAAACCUUCUGGUAACUUAAAUCAGUAAUACACACCAGUCAAAAUAUGAUGGUACAUAAAAUAGAAAAACAAAGAUAAAUUCAACACCACAAAUCCACAACCAUGAACAAUAUUCAAAAUAACAAAAAUCACUACCAUGGAUCCAUGGCAUCUCCACCACCAACAAUACUCAAAAUCAAUGCAUACCAUUAUAGCCACACCACCACCACAAUAAAAAAUAUUCAUAGCUUCAAAAUCAACAACACCACCAUAAAUAAUAUUUAAAACUACAAAUAUCCAUAAAAACUCCACUAACCACAUACAACAAAUCCAACACCACUUGCUCAGCAUAAGCUACAAAUCUAUUAAAAAUUAUUCUCUCGUUAUGUUUCUAAUGUGACAAUGUCUUAAUUGACAUCAACUUCGCAUAAUGUUGCUACCUCCACUUGGAUGAUACAAAUGAGGAUUAGCAUUAUCUAGUAGAGUUAGUUUUUUAAUAUUCCUACAAUUUCAGUAUUCAUUGAAUUAGAGGUUGCAAUAUAAUUCUUAUGGAGCAGGCUAUGGAUUAAGUGGGUUCCCACCAUUGAAAAAAACAACUUAUAGUGAUUAUUGCCAAAAGUAUGAAACUUUCUCGUUGAAGAUCUUUCGGUGCAAUUAAGGUAUGUUAUUUUUUAUUACGCCAUGAUUUAAUAAUAUUCUUAUAUUGUGUCAUAUAGACUAUGUUAGUUGUCUUCCUAUUCUUUCCUUUUUCACUCAACUAUUAUGAUGACUCUCACUUAAGCCUAGGUAUUUAUUUUGGAGUAAGCAGUUUGCAUUAUCACUCAUGCAGAAUAUAAUACUAUGAUUGAGGUGAGUUCAUCUAUAACCUUAUAUAUAAUAUGAUACAUAUAUUUAAAUAGAAACAGUUGAGUCAUUUAAUACUUUUGAUUCACGUGCUAUCCUCCCCCUUUUUUUAAUAGAACAUAUUUAUCAUUGAUUAUUUUUCCAAUUUCUAUUUCUCCCAUUCUCACCCCUGCUCACUUCUUAACCUUCUACUUGUCUCUUCAUCCUUUACACUCGUUCUUCUUCUUCCUCUUCUUCCAUUUUUCUUUCAACUUCUACUUCUCCUCUAUUUGUGUUGAAAGGGAGAAACAAUCCUGAUGAAGGUCUUUUGUUGAUGCAAUAGAGGUAAGAAUUUAUUUAUUCGACUAUGCUUUAAUAAUAUUCUAUUAUUGGUAUAAAAAACGUGUUUUUUUUGGUCAAAUCUUUUGAUAACUCAAAUUAGCGAUGCACACUAGUCAAAAUAUGAUAUCAAAAUAGAAAACAAAAUAAAGAUACCAACACCACAAAUUCAAACCAUGAAUAAUAUUCAUAACAAAAAAAUCCACUACCAUGAAUCCAUAGCAUCCCCACCACCCAAACAAUACUCAAAAUCAAACUAUACCACUAUUGCCACACCACCACCACAACAAAUAAUAUUAAUAGCUUCAAAAUCAAUACCAAAACUACAAAUAAUAUUUAAAUAACUUCACUAAAGAAGUACAAUGAAUUCAACACCACGUACUCAACAUAACCUACAAAUGUAUUGAAAACUUAUUCUCUCGUUAUUUUUUUUAAUGUGACAAUGUUUUAUUUGACGUUGAAUUCACAUAAUGUUGACUACACUUGGAUGACACAAAUGAAGAGUAGCAUAGUCUAGUAGAGUUAAUGUUUUAUAAUAUUCAUACAAUUUGAGUAUUCAAUGAAUUAGAGGUUGUAAUGUAAUUAUUAUGGAACAUGUUAUGUAUUUAGUGGGUUCUCCACCGUCAAGAAAAAUACUUUGCGUGCAUAUUGCAUGAUCUUUCAGUGCAA